AUGCCCAAAAAACUACAUAACUAAUCAAUUUAUUGAUCUCAUUACAAAAAUCCCAAACGAGAGACAGUAUCCAUUACGUAAAUCAACCAUCUGCUAACAUCAAUAAAUAUAUUGAGAACAGACCUUUGUGCGAAUUGUAAUGGCUACCAAGUAAACAACAGUGUACAUUUUAGUUUUCAUUGGCACAAAGGAAUGGGAAGUGUGCAUAUUAUGCAGCAAAUCGUUCUUCACUGCAUGCUCUGAAAUCGUUUGACAAUCAUGAGGCUCAUUUCCAUAUAACGUUGCGCACAGUUAGAUAGACAAUUAGAUUCACUGGAGCUGAACUUGCUUCCAGGUGUGCUAGUGAUACAUUUAUCCCAGCAAGCACUUGUAAGCUUUCCAACCAUUUCAUUGAUCAUGGCCCUUUCCUUCUGUUGAUUGAGAAAAUUCUGCAAUUCUGGUGACUGAAGAGAUGAAGGAUCCAUGGAGACUUCGACGGAGCAAGUCUAGUGAUUUUCCCGGUUAAACGGA
Molecule: unclassified non-coding RNA, 510 nt
Filed under: Hevea brasiliensis (rubber tree)
Lineage: Eukaryota; Viridiplantae; Streptophyta; Magnoliopsida; Malpighiales; Euphorbiaceae
Source: RNAcentral